AGAGCGAACGCUGGCGGCAGGCCUAACACAUGCAAGUCGAGCGCCCGUAGCAAUACGGGAGCGGCAGACGGGAUAGUAACACGUGGGAACGCGCCCUUCGGUUCGGAAUAACUCAGGGAAACUUGAGCUAAUACCGAAUACGCCCUUACGGGGAAAGAUUUAUUGCCGAAGGAACGGCCCGCGUCCGAUUAGCUAGUUGGUGAGGUAAUGGCUCACCAAGGCUACGAUCGGUAGCUGGUCUGAGAGGAUGACCAGCAUCACUGGGACUGAGACACGGCCCAGACUCCUACGGGAGGCAGCAGUGGGGAAUAUUGGACAAUGGGCGAAAGCCUGAUCCAGCCAUGCCGCGUGGAUGAUGAAGGCCUUAGGGUUGUAAAGUCCUUUUAACGGGGAAGAUAAUGACGGUACCCGUAGAACUAAGCCCCGGCUAACUUCGUGCCAGCAGCCGC
Molecule: ribosomal RNA, 449 nt
Filed under: uncultured bacterium
Lineage: Bacteria
Description: SSU rRNA
Rfam family: Bacterial small subunit ribosomal RNA
Source: RNAcentral